GACGAACGCUGGCGGCGUGCUUAACACAUGCAAGUCGAACGAAGAGCGAUGGAAGCUUGCUUCUAUCAAUCUUAGUGGCGCACGGGUGAGUAACGCGUAAUCAACCUGCCCUUCAGAGGGGGACAACAGUUGGAAACGACUGCUAAUACCGCAUACGAUCUAAUCUCGGCAUCGAGGAUAGAUGAAAGGUGGCCUCUACAUGUAAGCUAUCACUGAAGGAGGGGAUUGCGUCUGAUUAGCUAGUUGGUGGGGUAACGGCCCACCAAGGCGAUGAUCAGUAGCCGGUCUGAGAGGAUGAACGGCCACAUUGGGACUGAGACACGGCCCAGACUCCUACGGGAGGCAGCAGUGGGGAAUCUUCCGCAAUGGACGAAAGUCUGACGGAGCAACGCCGCGUGAGUGAUGACGGCCUUCGGGUUGUAAAGCUCUGUUAAUCGGGACGAAAGGCCUUCUUGCGAAUAGUGAGAAGGAUUGACGGUACCGGAAUAGAAAGCCACGGCUAACUACGUG
This 510-nucleotide ribosomal RNA is filed under the name uncultured bacterium. RNAcentral's name for it is "partial 16S ribosomal RNA". It matches the Rfam family "Bacterial small subunit ribosomal RNA", at positions 28 to 507 of the family's 1533-position model. The record is from RNAcentral.